This is a non-coding RNA of Phrynosoma platyrhinos (Desert horned lizard), 72 nucleotides long. NCBI's taxonomy places the organism in Eukaryota, Metazoa, Chordata, Lepidosauria, Squamata, Phrynosomatidae. The record is from the annotation of a GenBank genome assembly.
GCUAGCAUGAUGUAGUGGUAUAAGCAUUGGACUGUAACUCUGAAGACCAGGGUUUGAUUCCCUGUUCAGUCA